AACGAACGCUGGCGGCAAGCCUAACACAUGCAAGUCGAACGAAGCCUUCGGGCUUAGUGGCGCACGGGUGCGUAACGCGUGGGAAUCUGCCCUUUGGUUCGGAAUAACAGUUGGAAACGACUGCUAAUACCGGAUGAUGACGAAAGUCCAAAGAUUUAUCGCCAGAGGAUGAGCCCGCGUAGGAGUAGCUAGUUGGUGUGGUAAAGGCGCACCAAGGCGACGAUCCUUAGCUGGUCUGAGAGGAUGAUCAGCCACACUGGGACUGAGACACGGCCCAGACUCCUACGGGAGGCAGCAGUGGGGAAUAUUGGACAAUGGGCGAAAGCCUGAUCCAGCAAUGCCGCGUGAGUGAUGAAGGCCCUAGGGUUGUAAAGCUCUUUUACCCGGGAUGAUAAUGACAGUACCGGGAGAAUAAGCCCCGGCUAACUCCGUGCCAGCAGCCGCCGUAA
RNAcentral lists this ribosomal RNA (449 nucleotides) under uncultured bacterium. Its description in RNAcentral is "partial 16S ribosomal RNA". It matches the Rfam family "Bacterial small subunit ribosomal RNA", at positions 29 to 523 of the family's 1533-position model. The record is from RNAcentral.